This 522-nucleotide long non-coding RNA is filed under the name Homo sapiens (human). RNAcentral's name for it is "non-protein coding LHX5-AS1:2". Lineage: Eukaryota; Metazoa; Chordata; Mammalia; Primates; Hominidae. The record is from RNAcentral.
AGCGUUGCUGUCCGGACAGAGCAAAAAAAACAAGGCAUCAGUAUUGUUGAGUAUUAGCUUGUACCUGGUUCGGAGGCUAAGUUUGCCGGAGAAGGCAGGGGUGAGCCACGGUGGCUGCCCGGCUGUGCACCGGCGCCGGAGUUUGGACCAAGACAAAGACAGGAGCUGUCCGCGGUGCUGAAUCGGCGGCGCCGUCGCCGGAGCAAGGGGGCUUCUGUAACCAGCCCUCUGCUCAUUUACUCCCCAUCCUUCUAGCUCCCCUUCGCUCUGUGACUCUUGCCUUCCCCUGAAUUUAUUUCCCUUUUGGGGGACUCACCUUAGAACCUGCGCCCUGUACACAGGUGUAUAUACAUAUAUCAAAGAACAAAACGAUUGAUUGAAAACGGUGUCUUCUCCUUUCUUCCCAAAUAAAUGAUGUUAGAAAGGUUUAUUUUAACUGUACCCUAAAACGGAGAGAAAUGGAUAUUUCUACUCCUAAAUAAAUGGAAAUUCAUGUUAAAAACAAUAGAGCUAACCUAUAAC